RNAcentral lists this small nucleolar RNA (100 nucleotides) under Sciurus vulgaris (Eurasian red squirrel). RNAcentral describes it as "Small nucleolar RNA U3 (ENSSVLG00005012889.1)". It matches the Rfam family "Small nucleolar RNA U3". From Rfam's summary of the family: Small nucleolar RNAs (snoRNAs) are involved in the processing and modification of rRNA in the nucleolus. There are two main classes of snoRNAs: the box C/D class, and the box H/ACA class. The record is from Rfam by way of RNAcentral. Lineage: Eukaryota; Metazoa; Chordata; Mammalia; Rodentia; Sciuridae.
AAGACUAUACUUUCAGGGAUCAUUUCUAUCGUAUGUUACUAGAGAGGUUUCUCUGAUUGUGUAGAGUACCGGAAACCAAAAGAAGUUGAGAGAAGAUGGU